Molecule: non-coding RNA, 80 nt
Filed under: Aggregatibacter kilianii
Lineage: Bacteria; Pseudomonadati; Pseudomonadota; Gammaproteobacteria; Pasteurellales; Pasteurellaceae
Source: RNAcentral
UGCGGUCACAAAAAUCUAUUUUUGAAGGUCGACUAUGCCAACGGAUCAGAAGGAAUGAAUAAAUAACAUAAAUGAUUUAG